Molecule: long non-coding RNA, 3542 nt
Organism: Rosa chinensis
Lineage: Eukaryota; Viridiplantae; Streptophyta; Magnoliopsida; Rosales; Rosaceae
Exons: 3
Source: RefSeq, a predicted model, not a curated record
CCCAGAUUUCUCUAGAACUCUUGGCAUCGAGACCCGUUUCCUCAACCAGGAAACCCGCGCCGGUGACCCGACUCCAUCUCUGCCUUUCGGCCACGAUACUGCCGCGCACCGGUGCGGUUCGACUUCUCUUCUCAUCGCCUACCUUCCUACGGUUUUGGUUCAUCCAAUCUCUGAUCGAGGGAAGAGAAUCGAACGCCGGAAGUUUCUGGUUUUCCGGCUGCAAAUUCCGGUGUCUCCGGCGAUUUCUUGUGAUGCAUGAGGUACGAAACGAAAUCCUUUCGUCAAGCUUUACGUCUGUGUAUGUUUAGUUUUUUAUUUUGGUUUAGUUCUGAACGAAUUGAUAUAUUCGGUGUCAUCGGGCUUGGUCGGAGUUCACUACUCACAGCGGGUGUCACCUGUUCUCACGUUUGAACUGUCCAGUUUGAUUGAAAGAGUCAUAUAUGGAGAAUCGAUUGAGACUACUUCGAGUUAAGCUGUUAAGGUAAACCAUUCUCGGCAUAGUCUUGUGAUUUUGAAGUUGGGUUGUCAAUCUUGGAAACUAACUGCCUUCUUGUUAAUUGAAUGGUUGAGUUUGGAGGAAAACGCAGAAAUACGAAGGGAAUGGGAUCCAGAAGCUUGAGGUUGAAGAGAAGUGGGAACCUAUAUUUUUAGGCUCUGCUUGUCGAUAAUUAAUGAAGGUAAUAGUCUCAAAGAAGUGCAUUGGUUUGGACUUUGGAUGUUGUUGAGUGGACAAAUGAAAGUUUGGUAUUUGACCAUCUAAGUAUGCGUAUUGGUCACCUGAUGAUUUGAAGUUGGUUAAAAUGAUUUUUGGCUUGUUUAUUGGUUUCAAGUGGUGGAAUUGGAAUGUAAAAGUUGGAUCACCUCUGUGCAGAUUUCACAUGAAUGGUUGGUGCAAGUUGUUACAUACUCCAAGACCCAAAUUGGGUUUUAGACAGAAAACUGAAUUAUAAAAGGUAAUUGUGAAACCCCAACCUUGGAAUUGUGUAUCGUAAGUUGGUUGUACAUAAAGAGUUGGAUGGAUUUGUUAUGUUGAUUGUAAUGGUUGGUUGUGUUGAGUGUUUAUGUGGGAAACAAGAAUAAAUGUUUGGAUUUGGUUAUAUAGAAUGCGAAAUACGGGUGUGUACAGGAGGUUUUGAAUAUGUGGGACAAUGGCAUAUUAAGUUCCUUCAAUUGUUAAGUUUUUUUGUUUUUUUGGGAGAAAUCUUUAAUUGUUAAAGUUGAAGCCAUUGAAAGAAAUAUGUUGUCAUAGAAUUAAAACUUGGUCUAUUGAAGUUGACGUUCUUUUUUCUGGCAUAAAAAGUAACAUUACAAACACCACAACGAAAGAAACAAAGAAACAGAAGGGAAACCCCAUGGAACACGCUCUCAUGGGGAAGCAGAAACUGCUGCAUCAAAUUGAAGGAUGUGCUAGAGGGUGGGAUGGUCAUUGAGAAUGACAAUAAAAUGGAAGUAAUUGUAUGUACCGAGCCAUGACAAGUUGAAUAAGUUCACAAAAGUUAGCAUUCAUGAUUGGUCAUGGAAGGUUUGAGACCUUGUAUACUACUUGCCUUGGAGUUUAAUUGAGCUGUAUAUCAGAUGUGGUGGGACUUGAUUACCAUGAAUGAUUAAAUGACGUUGUUGGACUCCAGUUACCUGAAACGUAAAAGAUGGUGGUGUUUGCCUAGGAGAGAAUGAAACCAAAUCUGCUGAUAUUUCAGGAGCAUAACGACUUCUUUGGGCUUUGAUCCCCUAAACCUCCUGAGGGGUUGUAUGGACUGAAGAGUGUCUGACAUCCUUUGAAGUGUGACACUACUUCUAGGUGAUAAGGUGUAAGUGGAUACUAACGAUAUUAAUCGUGGUGAGGUUGUAGUUGGCACAGAAACCGGUCAUCAUGCAUGUAUGUUUUUCUUUAUGGGCCCUACUAGUUUUUUUUUUUUUAAUAAACAAACUAUGAUUUGUGGUUUCGAAUAUAUUAUCAUAUGCAUCAUUUUUCACUUACUUUAAUUGUCGGCACCAUUGUUUAAUUGUUUUUACACCUAGCUGGGCUUAAGUCUUAUUGAGCAGUGAGGACGAAAGCUCACCCCUACAAUAGUUUGUAGAUGCAGAUACUGUGUACGAAGACAGGACAGUUGGAAGAUGCUAAAUGUGGCUUAAUUACCCUAUACUUCAAUUGUCACUGACGGAGUUAGAUCCGUGUGACAGGUUUUUCUUUUUUUUCUCUAUUCUCACAAAACUUGCUUAUCAAGAUUGUGAUUGUUUGUAAAAUACCUCUUUGUAUAUUUUUUGGACUUUGGUUUUAAACUGGAUAAUCAUUCGAUAAUUAUUUUGAAACUUGUAUUUGUUUUUAAAGGAUUUCCAUUGGUUUUAUAGUUUUCACCUCCCUUAAACAAAUGCUUCCGUGCUCAAAUUUUAGUAAUGAACUUAUUAAAGUAUUUUAAUUUCCUUGUUUUGCCUUGUGAAUUCUUAGGACUUGAGUUAAGCAUCUUAGCUUAGGUUUUAAGAAUACACGGCACUGUAAUGUGCUCGAUUUGAUGUGGUGCAUAUCGGGGUGUUACACAUAUAGUAUUUAUAAAAUUGAAUUUAUCAAUACAAUUAAGGAUUAUUUAAUAUAAAUAACCAUGUCUAAUGAUAUAUUGAGUACAUAGUUAAGGAGGCCUCCGAGCAAUAUGGAGCGACCUCGAGAGGCAAAACCUAGGGUCUCGUGUGGCAGCAGCGAACGUGUGGUAUCCAAACUAGGGCGACGACGAGAAGACGGAGCUGCAGAUCCUUGUUCAGUGACGUCGGUUGUUCUAGGCAUUGUUCGACGACCCAUUUUUGAAGCGGUAUGGCUCUGAUUCGCGGCGGCUGAAGGCUGUGAUAGUGAGGCUGUUGGGUUAAGGCUUCGGGUUCGACAAAUGGUGUUGCGUCACUGCUGCGCCGGAAGUACUCUUGAUGGGUCCAUGGUAGUGCACUCUUGGUUUCUUGGACGAGUAUUGUUUUACGACAGAGGCUUUGAGGAGACGUCUUUGAGCAUCACUUGUUGAUUUCCAGGUCGGAGGUCCGGAUUUUCUUCUCUAGUCUUCAACGAUGGUGGAGGCCAGAGGGAGGUCGCCGAAACAAUGAGGAUGGGCUGCUCACCGGUUGGUCCUUCUGACUGCAUCUUUGGGGUUAAGUUGUGGGGUGCAGGAUUAGCCUUGGGCCUCAGCUUCCCUGGGCUGCAGUCUGGAGGGCUAGGCCUUGGGUUUGUCUUGGUAUGGGCCAGUUGGAGGUGAGCCUAAUUUAGUUUUUUUUUUUGCUUUGAAUAAGUGUUCUUACCUUAUUAUGCCCUUGGUCGUAGCUGUACACACAGUACGCUGACUGAUGAGUGACUAUGUCCGCCAGGAGCCCAGGAGGGUCUUUAGGCAUCAAUGCUUGUCAAGUCAGUUACUCUGAUUUAGAGUUGGAUAGGUGUAGGAUUUUUAUAUUAUGCAUUUUUCAGUUUUGUAUAGUUUUCAUUUUUUUGAUGGCUCUACUUUAUGUAGACUGAAUUGCACUUUGAGAUGUAUUAUGAAGGAUUUUUGAAUAAUUCUAGCUUGACAGAGAGA